CCUUUAGGAAGCCGGCAGAGACUCUCCUCGGCGCCAGAGGAUUGCCAGCUACCCCUUGUGGUAACAUUGGUUCUCGGCUCUCAGAAAUUGUACAAAAGGUCACCCACUUUCAGCAUCUCCAGUGCAGACUGUGCCUCAGUCAGUCAUCAUUCUCGUGCACGUGAACAGCCCAUGCCAAUCACCCCUCUUUCUGGACCAAUCACUGACCUCAGCCCCUCCGUGUGGAGUACCAUAGCAGAGCAGGCGGCUGCACGUUUCCCCUCAUUCUCAGGACUGUUGUUGUUCGUUAUUCUGUGCGUCCACGAGAACAAACCACACACAUCCUAACAUCACAGAACAAAUAUCAAUGUGCACCAUCCUCUGGCUUCAUCUGAGUGAAUAAGCAAUAAGUGUGACUGGAGUAAUUUCUUCAUCUUCCUGUUCUAACCGGACAACCUGUGGCGUCUGCAGAUAUAUUAACCAAAUAUUCCAAGUCAUUCAUCACUGAGGUCACAAGAGUGUGCCUCACUCAUCCGCCUCACCACAGCCCAGCCUGAGCACUCUCUCACAGGACCCCCCCCCCCCACAUAAUUCUUAUUUAUCCAAUGCUUGAUUAGUUUUGUCCUUUAAUAUAAACUGAUGUAAAGGAGGUUGAUUUAAUAAUAUCUAAUCUUUUGUUGAUAAAUUCUCAAACAUUUCAGUGCAUGACACCAAACAGAAUAAUCAAAGGUGUUAACCAUCCAAAGAAUCAUACAUGCAGUUUAAUGUAGAUAUUUACCAUGAUGAUAAAGACUUUAAGAAUUAAAUAAUUCCUCUGUUGUCAGUAAGAUGAAAGUUUUUUAAAUAGUUUCAACGUUAACAGACUACUUUCACAUAAAAAGACUUGAAGAUGACGUUUAAAUAAGACAGUAAUUCAAACAGGAGUCUUGAGCCUGCAUUCUAUAAAAUGUCCAGCAGGGGGCGACAAUGUAUUCUUACAAAUAGAAGCUUCAAAGGAAUAAGGAUCAGUUAACAGCAGACUGUAAAACUAAGGGAUGGUUUUGAUUAAGAACAGUUUAAAGAAAACUAGAAGACUUUAUUUUGAAUAGUUUAAAAUAUGUUUAGAAGAAAUGUGGGGAUAAACAUGUUUACUCUGGGUUCUGCCUGUUAAAGGCAGUGUUUUUUUUGUUUGUUUGUUUCUGGAAACAUUUGUUCUUAUUCUGAACUGCCUGAUUUACUGACUGACUUAUUAAUGUUUCUAUAAUGUAGCAUUUACUGGACGUUUAAAAGACUAUUACUAAUAAAAGGUCAUAUACUGUA
Long non-coding RNA from Cheilinus undulatus (humphead wrasse), 1278 nucleotides. RefSeq lists it as uncharacterized. The record is from RefSeq and is a predicted model, not a curated record. The transcript is spliced from 3 exons. Lineage: Eukaryota; Metazoa; Chordata; Actinopteri; Labriformes; Labridae.